Molecule: long non-coding RNA, 897 nt
Organism: Esox lucius (northern pike)
Lineage: Eukaryota; Metazoa; Chordata; Actinopteri; Esociformes; Esocidae
Source: Ensembl
GGGGUUUAGGUCAGUAUAUACUGUAGAUAAAGGGUCAGGGGUUAAGGUUAGAGGUCAGUAUAUACUGUAGAUAAAGGGUUAGGGGUUUAGGUCAGUAUAUACUGUAGAUAAAGGGUUAAGGGUUAAGGUCAGAGGUCAGUAUAUACUGUAGAUAAAGGGUCAGGAGUUUAGGUCAGCAUAAACUGUAGAUAAAGGGUUAGGGGUUAAGGUCAGAGGUCAGUAUAUACUGUAGAUAAAGAGUUAGGGGUUUAGGUCAGAGGUCAGUAUAUCCUGUAGUUUAUAGUUAAAGGGUUUUGGUUAUAGGUAUAAAAUGAAUAUCAUUAAAAUGCAUCAGAAUAUCGAUUUGUGACAGGCAUAGAGUACAGUUGUAGCUAAAAAUAUUCACAUAAUGAGGUCCUGGCUAUAGGAAUGUUUCUAAGCAUCUCUAUGUUUCCUGGUGGUGAUAGUCAGGGCCUGACAGCAGAGGUGCCUCUUGGUAUCUCUGCGCGGUGGGUUUUGGUUAUUCCAAAUUAGAGGCAGCUGCCCUGGGUUGCCUCUAAUUGGGGAGCACAUUUAAAUUUAAAAACCACUCUCUGUGGUUCAUUGUUUAUUCAGCCUACAUACCAUUUCUCGGUUUGUGCCUAUUCUUUUGUUGUCUGUAAGACAAACAAAAGGAAUGACUCAGCACCACAACUCUGCGCCACUUGUUCUGCCUCUCCACAACUGUAAUACAUACAUUAUUGAAAUAUUUGCCCCAUUUAAAAAUUAUUUCCCAUUUCAUCAAAAUUGAGUAAGAAAAUGAAGAACCAGAUCUUACAGGAGGCUGGACGUAAAUAUGCACCUAACCCCAUUAUCGUUUAUGUUUUGACUAAAAUAUGCACUUAACCCCAUGAUCAUUUUUAAUGGUUUGACAAAAAU